UGUUAGCUGUCUGCCUGGCAUGGUUCAUCUGACCUUGACCUCAUUUUCAAGGUUCAUUGGUCUUUGUUUAGUUAUCUUGGUUAAUGUUAAGUUUAUGUGACAGUUGUAAUAAAACUUAGCUUUAUACUUAGGACUAUCAACAUAAUAUCAAUGAUUAGUAUAGAAGGUGAGACAUUUCAGCAUGUGCACUCUUGUAUAAAUUUUGAACUAAAA
This 213-nucleotide long non-coding RNA is filed under the name Mytilus galloprovincialis (Mediterranean mussel). Lineage: Eukaryota; Metazoa; Mollusca; Bivalvia; Mytilida; Mytilidae. The record is from RNAcentral.